AACUAAUGUUGUUCAUUCGGUGUCGAAACUUGUGUUACCCCAGGGGGGCUGAAAACAAAUUCACAAAAACUUUUCAUUUAUUUUUAGUUGCUGGUUUUGCUGUGGAAUUACUUGCAGAGGGAUAUGGCGGCGACGAAUGCCCCCUCUAUUUCAAAUAUUGGCAUUAAAUUAGUGUCAACCAGUUGGCGAAUGUCUGGCGCCACAUUCGUAUCCGACCACGCUUAUGAUGAUGUAUGGUCUCUGGCAUGGAAUUAAUCACUUCUCAAAGUUUGUUUUGACGAUGUUAUUUCUAAUAAUCUGCCUGCUGAGCUGCCGCCAUGAAGCCUCAGCUGCUUUAUUGCAUGGUCGUAACGUUCUUUUGAUGAUUGCUGAUGACGGCGGAUUUGAAAUGGGCGUUUACGGAAACAACCGAUGCCAAACGCCCCAUUUGGAUGCGCUGGCCGCUCAAAGUUUGGUGUUCUCCCGAGCACGGACUUCGGUGAGUAGUUGCUCUCCCAGUCGAGCAGCCCUCUUGAGUGGACUUCCAAGUCACGAAAAUGGAUUAUAUGGACUACAUCAUGACGUUCACCAUUUCAACUCUUUCGAGACGGUUCGGUCACUUCCAAUGAUCCUCCGGGAAAAUGGCGUUCGUACGGGCAUCAUAGGAAAGAAGCACGUCGGCCCUAGAUCUGUCUACUCUUUUGAUUACGAGCAAACCGAAGAAAAUAACUCAAUCAUGCAGGUCGGAAGGAAUAUAACCCGAAUUAAGUUGCUCGUCAGGGAAUUCCUUGCGAUGCAGAAUGAGACUCAGCCUUUCCUGCUGUACGUGGCGUUCCAUGACCCACAUCGGUGUGAUCAUUCCAACCCUGGUUAUGGGCAUUUCUGUGACAAGUUUGGGAAUGGAGAGCCUGGUUUCGGUCAUAUUCCAGACUGGAAGCCCAUACAAUACAAACCAGAAGAUGUACUAUUACCAUAUUUUGUUCCAGAUACUCCAGCGGCCAGAGAAGACGUAGCGUCGCAGUAUACAACAAUCUCGCGUCUCGAUCAAGGGGUUGGGCUGGUGCUUGACGAGAUCCGUAAGGCUGGUAAGACUGAAGACACUUUGAUAAUCUACUCAUCGGAUAACGGUAUUUCCUUUCCAUAUGGCCGGACGAAUAUGUACGAACCCGGAUUGGCUGUUCCGCUAUUCAUCAAGUCCCCCUAUGAUUUGACAAGACGAGGAGAGCUAACGGAUGUUCAAGCUAGUUUGCUGGAUAUAGUGCCGACGGUGUUGGAUUGGUUUGACAUCGAUUAUCCGAAAUAUCAUAUCCUUAAACCCAGUCAGCCUACUAGCCUCGGUGGAAAGUCUCUCUUACCGUUCUUGAGAGGCGAUGAUAAAGCGGAAAGCGACGCAUUCUUCGGAAGUCACGCCAUGCACGAAGUGACGAUGAAUUAUCCCAUGAGAAGCAUUAUUCAAGGAGAGCGGUACAAACUGAUACACAAUCUAAACGCUCCUGGUACUCCGUUUCCCAUCGACCAGGAUUUCUACCUAUCACCGACGUUCCUCGACAUGCUCAAUCGGACAUUAAAUGGGCUCCCCCUUCACUGGAUCAAGGAACUGUCUGAUUACUACUUUCGAGAGGAAUGGGAAAUGUUUGACCUGAAGGAGGACCCCAAAGAAUGCGUAAAUUUACACCGCAAAAAGAAAUACAGGGUUUGAGAUAUUCGUUGAACUGAAGGAAAAAUUAUUCAUGUGGCAAAAAUCUACUUACGAUCCAUGGUUGUGUGCUCCACAUGG
This 1756-nucleotide unclassified non-coding RNA is filed under the name Daphnia magna. Its description in RNAcentral is "n-sulphoglucosamine sulphohydrolase, transcript variant X3". Lineage: Eukaryota; Metazoa; Arthropoda; Branchiopoda; Diplostraca; Daphniidae. The record is from RNAcentral.